AUCCCGAUCGUCUUCUAGCUGUGGGCUCACAGAAGAUCCUAAAGACGCUAGGGAGGGGCGGCGCACGGAUCCCCAUCCUGAUCUGGUGGGGGAGGAUUUCGCUUUUGGCCGAAAGGUGGUAGGGGUUUCGGUGGCUGCAUCCUCGCCGACCACAUGGUGCACCUCCGAAUCUCCAGGCCCGUUUGGUAAGGGUUUCCCUUCUGAUAGGAGCGCCGCAGGCUGGGACUCGCAUCUAGAUCUGCUUUUCGAGCACCUAUGGACGGCGAAAGCUCGGCGAACUUCCUUCGGUGGUGGGUGGCGUGUGCAGCCGAUUCGACCCCUGCCGGAUCAUCUGGUGUGGCUGCGGGCGGGGAUUGGCGGAGGUGAGUGCUCAUCAAACAUCUUCCCUCGAUCGUUCUCGGUUGUGG
Molecule: long non-coding RNA, 407 nt
Filed under: Brachypodium distachyon (stiff brome)
Lineage: Eukaryota; Viridiplantae; Streptophyta; Magnoliopsida; Poales; Poaceae
Description: long non-coding RNA (BDIS_LNC005916)
Source: RNAcentral